This is a small RNA of 160 nucleotides. It matches the Rfam family "c-di-AMP riboswitch aptamer (ydaO/yuaA leader)". From Rfam's summary of the family: This family represents a conserved RNA structure found upstream of the ydaO and yuaA genes in Bacillus subtilis and related genes in other bacteria.
ACGCCACUGUGACCAUUACCCGGGCGGGGACGGGGGACCCGACAGGGCCCACGACGGGCCCGGCGACCGCAGGUCGCCUUGGGGUGAAGCCGCCGCCGGCGGCCGGACGCACUCGUUUCCGAACCCGACAGCUCACCUCGUAGGCACAGAGUGAAAAGGA